This 491-nucleotide long non-coding RNA is filed under the name Panax ginseng (ginseng). RNAcentral describes it as "long non-coding RNA (PGIN_LNC003785)". The record is from RNAcentral. Lineage: Eukaryota; Viridiplantae; Streptophyta; Magnoliopsida; Apiales; Araliaceae.
GCUUUGCUACUUGCUUGAUAUUUUGCCUGCUGCUUCAGGGCUUGCGAUCUUGAUUUACUCUGAAUUCCUCCUGGAUGGUUCGACAUUGAGUUGUCUCUGGACAUUUCAGAAUGGAUCAUUGAUCUUCAUGUAUCCCUACCAUCUUUGGUGUCUUGGGACUGGUUUCUGUAUGGAAAUGUGGAAAGGAGUGUGGCUUUCUUCUCUGAGAUUGACCGUACCACAGAUGGUCGCCAGUACCCCUAUUCAGGAGGAGCCUAGUUAAUUCCAUCUCUUAUGGAUUGGUGUUGCUCUUUAAGGUACAACCGCAGCUUAGAUGGUCGCCGAAUCUCUUAUUUGGGAGGAGUUCAGGUAAUUCCAUCCCUUUGGUUUGAAGCCAAUGAAAUGUAGUGGAUUAACAUUUGAUCCCAGUACCAGUUGACAAGUUUUUGUGUUUUGGUAGGGGGUGAGACCGCACCAUGAAUGGCUGCCUACGUACUCCUAUUGAAGAGGAG